CAGAGGCGAUGAAGGGCGUGCUAAUCUGCGAUAAGCGCCGGUAAGGUGAUAUGAACCGUUAUAACCGGCGAUACCCGAAUGGGGAAACCCAGUGUGAUUCGUCACACUAUCAUUAACUGAAUCCAUAGGUUAAUGAGGCGAACCGGGGGAACUGAAACAUCUAAGUACCCCGAGGAAAAGAAAUCAACCGAGAUUCCCCCAGUAGCGGCGAGCGAACGGGGAGGAGCCCAGAGCCUGAAUCAGCAUGUGUGUUAGUGGAAGCGUCUGGAAAGGCGCGCGAUACAGGGUGACAGCCCCGUACACAAAAGCGCAUGUGCUGUGAGCUCGAUGAGUAGGGCGGGACACGUGGUAUCCUGUCUGAAUAUGGGGGGACCAUCCUCCAAGGCUAAAUACUCCUGACUGACCGAUAGUGAACCAGUACCGUGAGGGAAAGGCGAAAAGAACCCCGGCGAGGGGAGUGAAAAAGAACCUGAAACCGUGUACGUACAAGCAGUGGGAGCACCCUUUGGGUGUGACUGCGUACCUUUUGUAUAAUGGGUCAGCGACUUAUAUUCUGUAGCAAGGUUAACCGAAUAGGGGAGCCGGAGGGAAACCGAGUCUUAAUUGGGCGUUAAGUUGCAGGGUAUAGACCCGAAACCCGGUGAUCUAGCCAUGGGC
This 657-nucleotide ribosomal RNA is filed under the name Salmonella enterica subsp. enterica serovar Enteritidis. RNAcentral describes it as "partial 23S ribosomal RNA". It matches the Rfam family "Bacterial large subunit ribosomal RNA", at positions 41 to 741 of the family's 2925-position model. The record is from RNAcentral. Lineage: Bacteria; Pseudomonadati; Pseudomonadota; Gammaproteobacteria; Enterobacterales; Enterobacteriaceae.